AUAUCAAUAAGCGGAGGAAAAGAAACUAACAAGGAUUCCCCUAGUAGCGGCGAGCGAAGCGGGAAGAGCUCAAAUUUAUAAUCUGGCACCUUCGGUGUCCGAGUUGUAAUCUCUAGAAGUGUUUUCCGCGUUGGACCGCACACAAGUCUGUUGGAAUACAGCGGCACAGUGGUGAUACCCCCGUAUACGGUGCGGACGCCCAGCGCUUUGUGAUACACUUUCAAAGAGUCGAGUUGUUUGGGAAUGCAGCUCAAAUUGGGUGGUAAAUUCCAUCUAAAGCUAAAUAUUGGCGAGAGACCGAUAGCGAACAAGUACCGUGAGGGAAAGAUGAAAAGCACUUUGGAAAGAGAGUUAACAGUACGUGAAAUUGUUGGAAGGGAAACGCUUGAAGUCAGACUUGCUUGCCGGAGCUUGCUUCGGUUUGCAGGCCAGCAUCAGUUUUCUGGGGUGGAUAAUGGCGGUUUGAAGGUAGCAGCCUCGUGCUGUGUUAUAGCUUUCCGCUGGAUACAUCCUGGGGGACUGAGGAACGCAGCGUGCUUUUUGCGAAGGUUUCGACCUUUUCACGCUUAGGAUGCUGGUGUAAUGGCUUUAAACGACCC
This 599-nucleotide ribosomal RNA is filed under the name Rhodotorula sp. ATCC MYA-3652. RNAcentral's name for it is "eukaryotic LSU rRNA". It matches the Rfam family "Eukaryotic large subunit ribosomal RNA", at positions 40 to 650 of the family's 3401-position model. The record is from RNAcentral. Lineage: Eukaryota; Fungi; Basidiomycota; Microbotryomycetes; Sporidiobolales; Sporidiobolaceae.